AGUGAACGCUGGCGGUAGGCCUAACACAUGCAAGUCGAACGGCCGCACAGUAAGAGCUUGCUCUUACGGGUGGCGAGUGGCGGACGGGUGAGGAAUACAUCGGAAUCUACUUUUUCGUGGGUGAUAACGUAGGGAAACUUACGCUAAUACCUCAUACGACCUACGGGUGAAAUCAGGGGAUCUUCGGACCUUGCGCGAUUCAAUGAGCCGAUGUCGGAUUAGCUAGUUGGCGGGGUAAAGGCCCACCAAGGCGACGAUCCGUAGCUGGUCUGAGAGGAUGAUCAGCCACACUGGAACUGAGACACGGUCCAGACUCCUACGGGAGGCAGCAGUGGGGAAUAUUGGACAAUGGGCGCAAGCCUGAUCCAGCCAUACCGCGUGAGUGAAGAAGGCCUUCGGGUUGUAAAGCUCUUUUGUUGGGAAAGAAAAGCAGCAGGUGAAUACCCCGCUGUUCUGACGGUACCCAAAGAAUAAGCACCGGCUAACUUCGUG
This 492-nucleotide ribosomal RNA is filed under the name uncultured bacterium. Its description in RNAcentral is "partial 16S ribosomal RNA". It matches the Rfam family "Bacterial small subunit ribosomal RNA", at positions 29 to 507 of the family's 1533-position model. The record is from RNAcentral.